GGGGGGGUGGUCACAGGGGUCCUGUUCCCGAAAUCCUGGGCUUAAAAACAUGAAAUCCCGAGGUCCAGAAUUAAAAAAAAAAAUCCUGACAUUCCGAACAUCGAAAAAAGAAAUCCCGGAUCCCGAAAUGGUCAAUCCCGAAAUCCCGAGCUUAAAAACACGUGAUCCCGACGUCCCGAAAAAGGUCCUGCCCCCUCAUUAAUCAGUAUUGGCAAAAAUAGGUGCAUUUACCACAAUGAAAGAUAAAUGUGAUAAAAGAAUAUACAUUCAAACAAAAAGAGGUGCACCAACAGAAAAUAGAAACC
This 305-nucleotide long non-coding RNA is filed under the name Mytilus galloprovincialis (Mediterranean mussel). The record is from RNAcentral. Lineage: Eukaryota; Metazoa; Mollusca; Bivalvia; Mytilida; Mytilidae.